CCUUUCUAAGGAAGAUGUUGAGUAUCAUUGAAUUUAUUGAGUGAUCUGAACGUUUUUUGAAGAUUAAAGCUUUUAAUUAAGCUUGAUAUAAAUUUGCUGUUGUGAAGCAGCGUUUUUAAAAGGAUCGCCGUCCAUGUUUCUCUUUCUUUUCGGAUUUUUUGCGAUGAUGGGGGGUCGUUAAUAUUUGGUUUUGAGGGCCCGUAGCUCAGGUGGUUAGAGUGCACCCCUGAUAAGGGUGAGGUCGGUAGUUCAAAUCUACCUGGGCCCACCACUUUUUGUUCAGGGGGCCGUAGCUCAGUCGGUAGAGCGCCUGCUUUGCAAGCAGGAUGCCAGCGGUUCGAUUCCACUCGGCUCCACCAUUGGCGUAAUUAUGGAAUUUUGUUCUGAUUUUUUGGAGCAAGAGUUUUUUGAAAAUUGAAUAGAAGAUAUAUUUUUUUGUAUUUUUUAUGUUGGCAUUGUAUGCGACAUAUAAGAUACCGGCGUUGUUAACCGCACGUUGAGAAUUUAUCUCAGGAAAUUGGUCUAUUGAAGAAGCAUAAGGAUAUUAUGUUUUUUUAAUUAUAAAGAGUUUGCAAAGAACUUUAUGACGAUUGACAAUGAGAGUAA
RNAcentral lists this transfer RNA (606 nucleotides) under Candidatus Liberibacter asiaticus. RNAcentral describes it as "partial 16S-23S ribosomal RNA intergenic spacer". The stretch from base 284 to 356 matches the Rfam family "tRNA". Lineage: Bacteria; Pseudomonadati; Pseudomonadota; Alphaproteobacteria; Hyphomicrobiales; Rhizobiaceae. The record is from RNAcentral.